GGGGAAUUUUGGACAAUGGGCGCAAGCCUGAUCCAGCAAUGCCGCGUGCAGGACGAAGGCCUUCGGGUUGUAAACUGCUUUUGUACGGAGCGAAACGGCUCUCUCUAAUACAGGGGGCUAAUGACGGUACCGUAAGAAUAAGCACCGGCUAACUACGUGCCAGCAGCCGCGGUAAUACGUAGGGUGCGAGCGUUAAUCGGAAUUACUGGGCGUAAAGCGUGCGCAGGCGGUUUUGUAAGACAGAUGUGAAAACCCCGGGCUCAACCUGGGAACUGCAUUUGUGACUGCAAGGCUAGAGUACGGCAGAGGGGGAUGGAAUUCCGCGUGUAGCAGUGAAAUGCGUAGAUAUGCGGAGGAACACCGAUGGCGAAGGCAAUCCCCUGGGCCUGUACUGACGCUCAUGCACGAAAGCGUGGGGAGCAAAC
RNAcentral lists this ribosomal RNA (425 nucleotides) under uncultured bacterium. RNAcentral describes it as "bacterial SSU rRNA". It matches the Rfam family "Bacterial small subunit ribosomal RNA", at positions 356 to 773 of the family's 1533-position model. The record is from RNAcentral.